RNAcentral lists this ribosomal RNA (1506 nucleotides) under metagenome. Its description in RNAcentral is "bacterial SSU rRNA". It matches the Rfam family "Bacterial small subunit ribosomal RNA". The record is from RNAcentral.
AGAGUUUGAUCCUGGCUCAGGACGAACGCUGGCGGCGUGCCUAAUACAUGCAAGUAGAACGCUGAAGAGAGGAGCUUGCUCUUCUUGGAUGAGUUGCGAACGGGUGAGUAACGCGUAGGUAACCUGCCCUGUAGCGGGGGAUAACUAUUGGAAACGAUAGCUAAUACCGCAUAACAAUGGAUGACACAUGUCAUUUAUUUGAAAGGGGCAAUUGCUCCACUACAAGAUGGACCUGCGUUGUAUUAGCUAGUAGGUGAGGUAAUGGCUCACCUAGGCGACGAUACAUAGCCGACCUGAGAGGGUGAUCGGCCACACUGGGACUGAGACACGGCCCAGACUCCUACGGGAAGCAGCAGUAGGGAAUCUUCGGCAAUGGGGGCAACCCUGACCGAGCAACGCCGCGUGAGUGAAGAAGGUUUUCGGAUCGUAAAGCUCUGUUGUAAGUCAAGAACGGGUGUGAGAGUGGAAAGUUCACACUGUGACGGUAGCUUACCAGAAAGGGACGGCUAACUACGUGCCAGCAGCCGCGGUAAUACGUAGGUCCCGAGCGUUGUCCGGAUUUAUUGGGCGUAAAGCGAGCGCAGGCGGUUUGAUAAGUCUGAAGUUAAAGGCUGUGGCUCAACCAUAGUUCGCUUUGGAAACUGUCAAACUUGAGUGCAGAAGGGGAGAGUGGAAUUCCAUGUGUAGCGGUGAAAUGCGUAGAUAUAUGGAGGAACACCGGUGGCGAAAGCGGCUCUCUGGUCUGUAACUGACGCUGAGGCUCGAAAGCGUGGGGAGCGAACAGGAUUAGAUACCCUGGUAGUCCACGCCGUAAACGAUGAGUGCUAGGUGUUGGAUCCUUUCCGGGAUUCAGUGCCGCAGCUAACGCAUUAAGCACUCCGCCUGGGGAGUACGACCGCAAGGUUGAAACUCAAAGGAAUUGACGGGGGCCCGCACAAGCGGUGGAGCAUGUGGUUUAAUUCGAAGCAACGCGAAGAACCUUACCAGGUCUUGACAUCCCGAUGCUAUUUCUAGAGAUAGAAAGUUACUUCGGUACAUCGGUGACAGGUGGUGCAUGGUUGUCGUCAGCUCGUGUCGUGAGAUGUUGGGUUAAGUCCCGCAACGAGCGCAACCCCUAUUGUUAGUUGCCAUCAUUCAGUUGGGCACUCUAGCGAGACUGCCGGUAAUAAACCGGAGGAAGGUGGGGAUGACGUCAAAUCAUCAUGCCCCUUAUGACCUGGGCUACACACGUGCUACAAUGGUUGGUACAACGAGUUGCGAGUCGGUGACGGCGAGCUAAUCUCUUAAAGCCAAUCUCAGUUCGGAUUGUAGGCUGCAACUCGCCUACAUGAAGUCGGAAUCGCUAGUAAUCGCGGAUCAGCACGCCGCGGUGAAUACGUUCCCGGGCCUUGUACACACCGCCCGUCACACCACCAGAGUUUGUAACACCCGAAGUCGGUGAGGUAACCUUUUGGAGCCAGCCGCCUAAGGUGGGACAGAUGAUUGGGGUGAAGUCGAAACAAGGUA